UACGAAGGGUGCAAACGUUGCUCGGAAUUAUUGGGCGUAAAGCGCCCGUAGGCGGCAUUGCAAGUCGGAUGUGAAAUCCCUCGGCUUAACCAAGGAAGUGCAUCCGAAACUGCAGUGCUUGAGUACUUAAGAGGAUCGCGGAAUUCCCGGUGUAGAGGUGAAAUUCGUAGAUAUGACAUAGAACACCAAUUGCGAAGGCAGCUCGCUACACAUAUAUUGACUCUGAGGCACGAAAGCGUGGGGAUCAAACAGG
This 253-nucleotide ribosomal RNA is filed under the name uncultured bacterium. RNAcentral's name for it is "partial 16S ribosomal RNA". It matches the Rfam family "Bacterial small subunit ribosomal RNA", at positions 524 to 776 of the family's 1533-position model. The record is from RNAcentral.